Long non-coding RNA from Zophobas morio, 372 nucleotides. RefSeq lists it as uncharacterized. NCBI's taxonomy places the organism in Eukaryota, Metazoa, Arthropoda, Insecta, Coleoptera, Tenebrionidae. The record is from RefSeq and is a predicted model, not a curated record. The transcript is spliced from 3 exons.
CAAUCGAAAAUUUUGUGUCGUCGGUCACGGUGCGACUUAGCUGCGGUCCCACCUCUAUAGGUAUAACCUGAAAAGAAAGCAUUGCCGUAAGCUUCUUGAGAAGCAUUUCUUUAAACGACAGCGGUACCGAAGGCGACUAUUAAGGAGACGGCAGUUAACCUAAAUGUUGCUACUUAAUGUAACUAUAUUAGAAGGGACUGCUCAAUUUAAAGAUAAUCUGAGCCAGAAAGUUACUUGCUCACGUUCUGAAGAGAAAACGGAACAGUGACUAUUCAAAAUUAAAAGAAUGGAAAGCGCGAAGAAACGAGUUUAUUAAAGUGAUAGAAGCCGAUAAAAAAGGUAUUAAUAACUAAACUUAAAGUUAAAAUAGCU